GCCUACCCCUGGUGUAGUGGUUUGAGCACUGGACUGUGACUCUAGAGAUCAGGGUUCAAAUCCCUGUUCAGCCA
RNAcentral lists this transfer RNA (74 nucleotides) under Phrynosoma platyrhinos (Desert horned lizard). Its description in RNAcentral is "tRNA-OTHER". The stretch from base 11 to 74 matches the Rfam family "tRNA". From Rfam's summary of the family: Transfer RNA (tRNA) molecules are approximately 80 nucleotides in length. Lineage: Eukaryota; Metazoa; Chordata; Lepidosauria; Squamata; Phrynosomatidae. The record is from RNAcentral.